CCUAAUUCAAUUUCUGGACUUAGUUUAUCAAAUUGUGAUCUGGUUGCCUCAAUAUUCUUGAUCCAGUUUGAGCUCAACCCCAAUUAGUUCAAAUUGAUCUAUGCAACUCAUACCAUCUUUGAUUUCUAUUGAUUAACCAUAACCAAAAGAAGUCAGUAAACCAGUACAAAGCAAAUUAAGGCAAGACAAUAAAACAUGGCAUAAGGGAAAUUAGAGCAAAACAAUAAAACAUGGCAGCAAGACACUCAAAUAAUAAUAACAAUAUCAAUAGAUCAUGGCUUGAAACAAGUAUCAAUUGAGGAUAGAAAGGGACCUCAGUAGUAACUUUAUUCAACGUAUCUCUACUUGAUCACAACAAUUACACGCAAGUCCGGUGAUGGCAAUUUAAUCGACAAACCAAAACAGCCAAAGAAAAACGCCGUGGAUCCGAGACGGAACCUCGAAACUUAAUUUCGAACAGCGGUAGUCAAAUACCACUCGACAAUCAACAACUCUUCCUCAGUCAAAUUCCAGAACCGAAAGUGAAAAGAAAAAUGAAAAUAUAUACAUAUUUUUUUGUAUUUCUCAGUUUGAAAUCAAAUUGAAAUUAGAUUGGACUGAAUUCUUUUUAUAUAAAAGAAAUUUAAUGAAGAAGUCAGAAAACAUAAAUCAUAAACCAAAACCAAGUCUUAGUUAAUCUUUUUCACUCCUGUUCCCCCUAUGUGUAUGUGCUCGAUCUGAACUAGAAGGGGGAACGAUGCGGCUGUUCUGUUGGAGGAAUUCGCGACAGUGAUAGAGGUACAGAGGGAGGUCUGGUCGCUGGUUAUUUGGAGAAGGGCUGGCGAUUUAAAGAGAUCAGGAGGGUGUGCGGCUGGUUUAGGUGUGUUGAGGAUGGUUGGUUGGCGUGGAGGUCUGGAGAUACAGAAAAAGGAAAGGUCUUUG
This 921-nucleotide long non-coding RNA is filed under the name Nicotiana tabacum (common tobacco). RNAcentral's name for it is "long non-coding RNA (NTAB_LNC004017)". The record is from RNAcentral. Lineage: Eukaryota; Viridiplantae; Streptophyta; Magnoliopsida; Solanales; Solanaceae.